UCAGGCUUCUCUCCACAAAGGUUCGGUAAUUAUCACCAUAAGAUAGCAAAGCCUUGGGAUGGAUGAGACAGCACCCAACGAAUGUAGAGAAGAGAGUUGGGGGCAGAAUUUUUGGCCAUUUCACAUGCCAGCGUGUGGGCUAACUCAUCUGACCCAGUGUUCUGAGACACGUGAGCUCUGAAACUCAGUGUGGAGAGAGGCACCGUUUGCUAUUGAAGCUUGAUGGAAAUGAGAACCCCUUGCAGCUUUACUUCAAAUACUGAUCACGGCCAGCAUGGGGCGCCAAACACCCGACGGUCCCCUCGUGAGGACACUGAAGGAACAGGCACUUCCAUCUCCCAGUUUCCUCCAUGAACCAGAUUACAAAAUGAGAUGAAGAUUAGGAAGAGAACCCCGGUUGCCUCAUCUCUGCCCUUUAAAGGGUGCGUUAGAUCAGGGUAAACUGCAGGGCAGGCCGGAGGCGGGUUCAACAUUCCAAGC
Long non-coding RNA from Suricata suricatta (meerkat), 480 nucleotides. RefSeq lists it as uncharacterized. NCBI's taxonomy places the organism in Eukaryota, Metazoa, Chordata, Mammalia, Carnivora, Herpestidae. The record is from RefSeq and is a predicted model, not a curated record. The transcript is spliced from 3 exons.